Molecule: long non-coding RNA, 380 nt
Organism: Pezoporus flaviventris
Lineage: Eukaryota; Metazoa; Chordata; Aves; Psittaciformes; Psittacidae
Exons: 2
Source: RefSeq, a predicted model, not a curated record
AAAGGGAAUGGAAAGUAGUUAAAUGAGAAGGAAUGUCUUUGCCAUGGGCUGCAGCUGCUUGAAAUGCAUUGGGAUCCUCAAGAGAAGAGACAAGUAAUAGAUUACAGAGCUUUGGUGCAAGCAAAGGGACCCGUUUCCAGUCGUCUUAACCAAAAUUGCAGUAACUGCAACAGGUGAGACAUGGCUUGUGGCCCCGAGAUGGCAAACUGGUUCACAGGCUGCAGUGUCUGUAUCAGUUCCUAAAGCUGCUUGUAGGAAUUCACCCAGCCUAAAGAACCUCCUGGGAUCCCAGCUUCUACAUUCCCAUUUCAAAAUGCAUGGGUAAGAGAAAACAAUUUAUAUUCAUAACCUUAAGUAAAUAAAUUGUCACUUUAACUACA